AAAGGAGUUUCCGAGAAUGUUUCUGUCUAGUUUUUAUGUGAAGAUAUUUCCUUUUCCCACGUAUGCCUCAAAGCGCUCCAAAUAUUCACUUGAGAACAUAGGUUCAACACUGGAGUUGAAUGCACACAUCACAAAGAACUUUCUCAGAAUGCUUCAGAGUAGUUUUUAUUUGAAGAUACUUGUUUUUCCACAAUAGGCCUCACAUAGCUCCAAAUAUCCACAUGUAGAUACUGCAAA
RNAcentral lists this long non-coding RNA (237 nucleotides) under Pan troglodytes (chimpanzee). RNAcentral's name for it is "long non-coding RNA NONPTRT014100". The record is from RNAcentral. Lineage: Eukaryota; Metazoa; Chordata; Mammalia; Primates; Hominidae.